UACGGGGGGGGCAAGCGUUGUUCGGAAUUACUGGGCGUAAAGGGCUCGUAGGCGGCCAACUAAGUCAGACGUGAAAUCCCCAGGCUCAACCUGGGAACUGCGUCUGAUACUGGAUGGCUUGAAUUCGGGAGAGGGAUGCAGAAUUCCAGGUGUAGCGGUGAAAUGCGUAGAUAUCUGGAGGAAUACCGGUGGCGAAGGCGGCAUCCUGGACCGACAUUGACGCUGAACGGCGAAAGCUAGGGGAGCAAACGGG
This 253-nucleotide ribosomal RNA is filed under the name uncultured bacterium. RNAcentral describes it as "partial 16S ribosomal RNA". It matches the Rfam family "Bacterial small subunit ribosomal RNA", at positions 524 to 776 of the family's 1533-position model. The record is from RNAcentral.